RNAcentral lists this unclassified non-coding RNA (329 nucleotides) under soil metagenome. RNAcentral describes it as "partial contains 5.8S ribosomal RNA, internal transcribed spacer 2, and large subunit ribosomal RNA". The stretch from base 1 to 120 matches the Rfam family "5.8S ribosomal RNA", at positions 35 to 154 of the family's 154-position model. The record is from RNAcentral.
GAUGAAGAACGUAGCGAAAUGCGAUAAGCAGUGUGAAUUGCAGAAUUCAGUGAAUCAUCGAAUCUUUGAACGCACAUUGCGCCCCUUGGUAUCCCGAGGGGCAUGCCUGUUCGAGCGUCAUUUCACCACUCAAGCCUGGCUUGGUGUUGGGCGACGUCCCCUUUGGGGACGCGCCUCGAAACGCUCGGCGGCGUGGCACCGGCUUUAAGCGUAGCAGAAUCUUUCGCUUUGGAAGUCGGGGCCCCGUCUGCCGGAAGACCUACUCGCAAGGUUGACCUCGGAUCAGGCAGGGAUACCCGCUGAACUUAAGCAUAUCAAUAAGCGGAGGA